This 263-nucleotide unclassified non-coding RNA is filed under the name uncultured fungus. RNAcentral describes it as "sequence contains ITS1". Lineage: Eukaryota; Fungi. The record is from RNAcentral.
GUAUUUGUUUUUAAAGGCACAAAGGCCAAUUACAACAUGCGAAUACAUUCGUGUGGGGUAUAUGUAGAAACAUAGACCUGAAUACAAGAAGAGCUGGCUGUUGCACAGCAAUUCUCAAACCGAGUUUCCUCGAGAUAUUUCAGAUCUAUGCAAGGUGCACAGGUGGUUAAAAAUGGAGUAGGCGUGCACAUGCUCCUAAGAGCCAGCAACAACCUAACCAAGUUUAUUCAAUAAUGAUCCUUCCGCAGGUUCACCUACGGAAA